UUGGAAGGGGAGCAGGGGAGCUUGGCUGGAAGCUGGAGACCUGUGCUCGCUCUCAGCAAUUGAAUUCACUAACAAGCCAGAAGUGAAUUAACCCCAACCUGCCAGGUGCAGAGCAAAACCUGGAGGCCCAACUCCCAGGCCCAGCCAGGUGCUGCUCAGCUGGGAGUCCCUUCCAGGGUUGGCUGGCACCUGCAAAGAAUCCAGAAAGAUUAAGCCAAAACCCAGGAGGAUAUCUGAAGAGUUAAGGAAA
Molecule: long non-coding RNA, 250 nt
Filed under: Homo sapiens (human)
Lineage: Eukaryota; Metazoa; Chordata; Mammalia; Primates; Hominidae
Description: HSALNT0056118
Source: RNAcentral